This is a long non-coding RNA of Hippoglossus stenolepis (Pacific halibut), 818 nucleotides long. RefSeq lists it as uncharacterized. The transcript is spliced from 2 exons. Lineage: Eukaryota; Metazoa; Chordata; Actinopteri; Pleuronectiformes; Pleuronectidae. The record is from RefSeq and is a predicted model, not a curated record.
GCUCACACACACACACACACACACACACACACACACACACACACAGCAUCUGUGGAAAGUCUCUCACAGGAUCUUGGACACUGGGAAAAAAAAAAGGUCCAAACGAGAAGGAGACCGGGAGCCAUCUCACUCCAGAGCCUUUUUCUCCCUGCUGAAGUCUAGGAUGGCCUCUUGUGGGUCCUGUUUCUGGUCCAUCGUCUGGCUUGUGGUCCUGCUGUUCAUCGGCUGGCCCCUCAGCAUCACCCUGGGGGGUCUCUAUGGCCUCCUCAGCCCGCUCACCACCUGCCUCGGCCUGGACCGCUUCUCCGAUCUGCUCCUGGAGGGGGCCAACUUGGGCCGGACCUGUGCCAACAACAUGAGGCACGGCAAGCCUUUGUGUUGAGACCCGUCCCGAGCGACCCGGAAACGGGACGACGCAAAGGGUCAAAGGCGAGAUUGGUGCUUUUCUACGGAGAAAAUCCUUCACGUCAGGGGAGAACUGUUGAUGUUUUGUGUUUUUUGACAUCCUGAGAUGAUCUGCACUCAGUACAGGGGAGAAAUCUAACAGGCAUUUAAUGGGACAAGAAGGUCUGGAAGGUCUGGAAGGUGGAUUCCCCUUUGUUCAGUUAACAUGUAAUUAACCGUGGAUUUCAAAUUUGUAUGGGUUUGUCAGGAAGGAGAAAGGCUUUGUGUUCCUCGUCUGUGUUUGCUGCCUCAUUCAUGAUGACCCUGCACGGGGAAGAUAGGAAUGAAAAUGUCAAUUCGACAAAAGGAAUGCUUAGACUUGUAAAUGAACUGAAUGGAAACUUAUAAUACGAUUAAAACUGCUUUGAACUUGC